CGAGAGCGUACGCGUAUGCACUUGCCCUUAUCAGGAGGAUAGCCCGGGGAAACUCGGAUUAAUACUCCAUAAUAUUUUAGUUGGCAUCGAUUAAAAUUGAAAGAUUUAUUGGAUAAGGAUAGGCAUGCGUCAGAUUAGCUAGUUGGUGGUGUAACGGACUACCAAGGCGAUGAUCUGUAGGGGGCCUGAGAGGGUGAUCCCCCACACUGGUACUGAGACACGGACCAGACUCCUACGGGAGGCAGCAGUGAGGAAUAUUGGACAAUGGAGGGAACUCUGAUCCAGCCAUCCCGCGUGCAGGAAGACGGCCCUAUGGGUUGUAAACUGCUUUUGUAUGGGGAUAAAUCUACUUACGUGUAGGUAGUUGAAGGUACCAUACGAAUAAGCAUCGGCUAACUCCGUGCCAGCAGCCGCGGUAAUACGGAGGAUGCAAGCGUUAUCCGGAUUCAUUGGGUUUAAAGGGUCCGUAGGCGGGCUAAUAAGUCAGUGGUGAAAUUUUGUCGCUUAACGAUAAAACUGCCAUUGAUACUGUUAGUCUUGAGUGAUAUUGAAGUAGCUGGAAUGUGUAGUGUAGCGGUGAAAUGCAUAGAUAUUACACAGAACACCGAUUGCGAAGGCAGGUUACUAAGUAUUAACUGACGCUGAAGGACGAAAGCGUGGGGAGCGAACAGGAUUAGAUACCCUGGUAGUCCACGCAGUAAACGAUGCUAACUCGUUUUCGGGGAGCGAUCUUCGGAGACCCAGUGCAAAAAAAAA
Molecule: ribosomal RNA, 756 nt
Filed under: Ornithobacterium rhinotracheale
Lineage: Bacteria; Pseudomonadati; Bacteroidota; Flavobacteriia; Flavobacteriales; Weeksellaceae
Description: bacterial SSU rRNA
Rfam family: Bacterial small subunit ribosomal RNA
Source: RNAcentral